RNAcentral lists this ribosomal RNA (289 nucleotides) under uncultured Planctomycetaceae bacterium. RNAcentral describes it as "partial 16S ribosomal RNA". Lineage: Bacteria; Pseudomonadati; Planctomycetota; Planctomycetia; Planctomycetales; Planctomycetaceae. The record is from RNAcentral.
CUACCCGGGUAUCUAAUCCCGUUCGCUCCCCUGGCUUUCGCGCCUCAGCGUCAGAAGAGGUCCAGCACGUCGCUUUCGCCACCGGCGUUCCUUCCGAUAUCAACGCAUUUCACCGCUCCACCGGAAGUUCCACAUGCCCCUAUCUCCCUCUAGCCGACCAGUAUCAAGAGCACUUUUCCGGUUGAGCCGAAAGAUUUCACUCCUGACUUGGUUGGCCGCCUACGCGCCCUUUAAGCCCAGUGAUUCCGAACAACGUUCGCACGGUUCGUCUUACCGCGGCUGCUGGCAC